GACAUCCAGAGAACUUAGCAGAGAUGCUUUGGUGCCUUCGGGGAACUCUGAGACAGGUGCUGCAUGGCUGUCGUCAGCUCGUGUUGUGAAAUGUUGGGUUAAGUCCCGNAACGAGCGCAACCCUUAUCCCUUUGUUGCCAGCGGUUCGGCCGGGAACUCAAAGGAGACUGCCGGUGAUAAACCGGAGGAAGGUGGGGAUGACGUCAAGUCAUCAUGGCCCUUACGGCCAGGGCUACACACGUGCUACAAUGGCGCAUACAAAGAGAAGCGACCUCGCGAGAGCAAGCGGACCUCAUAAAGUGCGUCGUAGUCCGGAUUGGAGUCUGCAACUCGACUCCAUGAAGUCGGAAUCGCUAGUAAUCGUAGAUCAGAAUGCUACGGUGAAUACGUUCCCGGGCCUUGUACACACCGCCCGUCACACCAUGGGAGUGGGUUGCAAAAGAAGUAGGUAGCUUAACCUUCGGGAGGGCGCUUACCACUUUGUGAUUCAUGACUGGGGUGAAGUCGUAACAAGGUAGGCGUAGCGAG
RNAcentral lists this ribosomal RNA (528 nucleotides) under uncultured bacterium. RNAcentral's name for it is "bacterial SSU rRNA". It matches the Rfam family "Bacterial small subunit ribosomal RNA", at positions 983 to 1509 of the family's 1533-position model. The record is from RNAcentral.